This 305-nucleotide ribosomal RNA is filed under the name uncultured bacterium. Its description in RNAcentral is "bacterial SSU rRNA". It matches the Rfam family "Bacterial small subunit ribosomal RNA", at positions 334 to 655 of the family's 1533-position model. The record is from RNAcentral.
CUUGCCUACGGGGGGCAGCAGUCGGGAAUAUUGCGCAAUGGAGGAAACUCUGACGCAGUGACGCCGCGUAUAGGAAGAAGGUUUUCGGAUUGUAAACUAUUGUCGUUAGGGAAGAUAAAAGACUGUACCUAAGGAGGAAGCCCCGGCUAACUAUGUGCCAGCAGCCGCGGUAAUACAUAGGGAGCAAGCGUUAUCCGGAUUUAUUGGGUGUAAAGGGUGCGUAGACGGGAAAUUAAGUUAGUUGUGAAAUCCCUCGGCUUAACUGAGGAACUGCAACUAAAACUGAUUUUCUUGAGUGUUGGAGG